Molecule: ribosomal RNA, 468 nt
Filed under: uncultured bacterium
Lineage: Bacteria
Description: partial 16S ribosomal RNA
Rfam family: Bacterial small subunit ribosomal RNA
Source: RNAcentral
GACGAACGCUGGCGGCGUGCUUAACACAUGCAAGUCGAACGGAAAGGCCCUGCUUUUGUGGGGUGCUCGAGUGGCGAACGGGUGAGUAACACGUGAGUAACCUGCCCUUGACUUUGGGAUAACUUCAGGAAACUGGGGCUAAUACCGGAUAGGAGCUCCUGCUGCAUGGUGGGGGUUGGAAAGUUUCGGCGGUUGGGGAUGGACUCGCGGCUUAUCAGCUUGUUGGUGGGGUAGUGGCUUACCAAGGCUUUGACGGGUAGCCGGCCUGAGAGGGUGACCGGCCACAUUGGGACUGAGAUACGGCCCAGACUCCUACGGGAGGCAGAAGUGGGGAAUAUUGAACAAUGGGCGGAAGCCUGAUGCAGCAACGCAGCGUGCGGGAUGACGGCAUUCGGGUUGUAAACCGCUUUCGCCUGUGACGAAGCGUGAGUGACGGUAAUGGGUAAAGAAGCACCGGCUAACUACGUG